CCCUACUGCUAUCGGGGUGGGACUAAGACAUGCUAGUCGAACGUCUCCAAGCCACGGAGGAGACGUGGCAGACGGCUCAGUAACACGUGGCCAACCUAACCUUGAGACAGGAAUAACCUCGGGAAACUGGGGACAAUUCCAGAUAGGCGAGGAAGUCUGGAAUGACUCCUCACCCAAAAGAUGUCCCAACCACGCACAAGACAUCGCUCAAGGACGGAGCCGCGGCCGAUCAGGCAGUUGGUAGGGUAAAGGCCUACCAAACCAAUAACCGGUACGGGCCGUGAGAGCGGGAGCCCGGAGAUGGGAACUGAGACAAGGUCCCAGGCCCUACGGGGCGCAGCAGUUACGAAAACUCGCCAAUGCACGAAAGUGUGAGCGGGCUACCCCGAGUGCCGUCCGCUGAGGAUGGCUUUUCCACGCCGUAAGGAAGUGUGGGAAUAAGGAGAGGGCAAGUCUGGUGUCAGCCGCCGCGGUAAAACCAGCUCUCCGAGUGGUAGGGAUGAUUAUUGGGCUUAAAGCGUCCGUAGCCAGCCUAACAAGUCUCUCGUUAAAUCCAACGAUUCAAUCGCUGGACUGCGGGAGAUACUGUCAGGCUAGGAGGCGGGAGAGGCCGACGGUACUCUUGGGGUAGGGGUGAUAUCCUAUAAUCCCAGGAGGACCACCAGUGGCGAAGGCUGUCGGCUAGCACGCGCUCGACGGUGAGGGACGAAAGCUUGGGGAGCGAACCGGAUUAGAUACCCGGGUAGUCCAAGCUGUAAACGAUGCGGGCUAGGUGUUGGGGUGGCUACGUGC
Molecule: ribosomal RNA, 792 nt
Filed under: uncultured archaeon
Lineage: Archaea
Description: bacterial SSU rRNA
Rfam family: Archaeal small subunit ribosomal RNA
Source: RNAcentral